GCGGAAGUACCCAAGAGGCCGAAGGGGCUCCCCUGCUAAGGGAGUAGCCGGUCUAAAGCCGGGCGAGGGUUCAAAUCCCUCCUUCCGCGCCA
RNAcentral lists this transfer RNA (92 nucleotides) under Candidatus Scatomorpha stercoravium. RNAcentral's name for it is "tRNA-Ser". It matches the Rfam family "tRNA". Rfam says of the family: Transfer RNA (tRNA) molecules are approximately 80 nucleotides in length. Their secondary structure includes four short double-helical elements and three loops (D, anti-codon, and T loops). Further hydrogen bonds mediate the characteristic L-shaped molecular structure. tRNAs have two regions of fundamental functional importance: the anti-codon, which is responsible for specific mRNA codon recognition, and the 3' end, to which the tRNAs corresponding amino acid is attached (by aminoacyl-tRNA synthetases). tRNAs cope with the degeneracy of the genetic code in two manners: having more than one tRNA (with a specific anti-codon) for a particular amino acid; and 'wobble' base-pairing, i.e. permitting non-standard base-pairing at the 3rd anti-codon position. Lineage: Bacteria; Bacillati; Bacillota; Clostridia; Eubacteriales. The record is from RNAcentral.